This 1149-nucleotide ribosomal RNA is filed under the name Triticum aestivum (bread wheat). RNAcentral's name for it is "partial small subunit ribosomal RNA". Lineage: Eukaryota; Viridiplantae; Streptophyta; Magnoliopsida; Poales; Poaceae. The record is from RNAcentral.
AUGGGGUCCUUGGAAGGCGACGUGGCCACCUCGCCCUCGCUGUCCAGCACCGGCAGCAGCGGCACCGGCGCCGGCAACGACAACCAUGGCGGCGGCGAGGUGAGGAUAUACGCCUGCUUCGCGCACGGCGCGUCCAACAGCCUCGAGUGCUACGAGCCGGGCGCCAACACGUGGCGCCGCGUCGGCGGCCUCCCGGGGGUGCCCCACGGCCACGUGCUCAAGGGCUUCGCCGUCGUCGCGGUCGCCGAGUCCGUCUACGUCAUCGGCGGCCGCCUGUGCCGCAGGGAGAGCGUGCCCGGCGGCGACUACCGCGACACGGACGUGGGCGUGCGCGCCGACGUGCUCCGCUACGACGUGCGCCGCGGGGAGUGGCGCUGCUGCGCGCCGCUGCUGGUCCCGCGCGUCGACUUCGCGUGCGCGCCGUGCCGCGGCAGGAUCUGCGUCGCCGGCGGGCUCUGCUCGCUCUCCGGCGCGCGGGGCACGGCCGCCGCCGAGGUGUACGACCCGGAGACCGGCCGCUGGUCGCCGCUCCCGGACAUGAGCACGCUGCGGUACAAGUGCGUGGGCGUGACCUGGCAGGGCGGGUUCCACGUGGUGGGCGGCUUCGCCGAGAGCACCACGCCGGCGGCCGCGCCCGGGGAGGCGCUGGAGCGGAGCUCCGCCGAGGUGUUCAACUGCGGGCGCGGCGUGUGGGAGAUCAUCCCGGGGAUGUGGCAGCUGGACGUGCCGCCCAACCAGAUCGUCGCGGUGGCCGGCCGGCUCUUCAGCUCCGGCGACUGCCUCAACAGCUGGAAGGGCCACGUGGAGGUCUACGACGGCGAGCUCAACAUCUGGAGCGUCAUGGACCACUCAGCACUAUCAGACCUGGCGCUGCUCGCCAGCAACCUGCCGCCAUCAGCGCAGCAGCUCUACCUCACCAUGGCCGUGGUCGGGACGCGGCUCUUCUUCCUCGCCGGGUACGAGAUCGCCGGCGACGACGACGAGAGCUUCAGGACGGUCUCACUGGUGCACAGCUACGACACCAGCGCCGCGCCAGGGCUGGCGCCGGCGUGGAGCAGCUUCCAGCCCAAGAUGGACCAUGACAACAACGUCGAGGACGGCAGCAAGGAGCUCUUCAGCCAGUGCUGCUCCGUGCAGCUCUCCAGCUGA